Molecule: ribosomal RNA, 207 nt
Filed under: uncultured bacterium
Lineage: Bacteria
Description: partial 16S ribosomal RNA
Rfam family: Bacterial small subunit ribosomal RNA
Source: RNAcentral
CGUGUAGGCGGCUAAAUAGGUCCGUUGUGAAAACUCGAGGCUCAACCUCGAGAUGCCGAUGGAAACCAUUUGGCUAGAGUCCGGAAGAGGAGAGUGGAAUUCCCGGUGUAGCGGUGAAAUGCGCAGAUAUCGGGAAGAACACCCGUGGCUAAGGCAACCCCCUGGGCUGAUACUGACACUCAUGCACGAAAGCGUGGGGAGCAAACA